CAAUGGGCGCAAGCCUGAUCGGAGCAACACCGCGUGAGUGAAGAAGGGUUUCGGCUCGUAAAGCUCCAUUGUUAAAGAAGAAACACGUAUGAGAGUAACUGUUCAUACGUUGACGGUAUUUAACCAGAAAGUCACGGCUAACUACGUGCCAGCAGCCGCGGUAAUACGUAGGUGGCAAGCGUUAUCCGGAUUUAUUGGGCGUAAAGAGAGUGCAGGCGGUUUUCUAAGUCUGAUGUGAAAGCCUUCGGCUUAACCGGAGAAGUGCAUCGGAAACUGGAUAACUUGAGUGCAGAAGAGGGUAGUGGAACUCCAUGUGUAGCGGUGGAAUGCGUAGAUAUAUGGAAGAACACCAGUGGCGAAGGCGGCUACCUGGUCUGCAACUGACGCUGAGACUCGAAAGCAUGGGUAGCGAACAGGAUUAGAUACCCUGGUAG
Molecule: ribosomal RNA, 434 nt
Filed under: uncultured bacterium
Lineage: Bacteria
Description: bacterial SSU rRNA
Rfam family: Bacterial small subunit ribosomal RNA
Source: RNAcentral